This 648-nucleotide long non-coding RNA is filed under the name Homo sapiens (human). RNAcentral describes it as "non-protein coding lnc-PALM2-6:1". The record is from RNAcentral. Lineage: Eukaryota; Metazoa; Chordata; Mammalia; Primates; Hominidae.
GAGAAUACCCAAGUCCAGCGAUUACAGCCAGGGUGGCUGGGGCCAUGACAAAAACUAGCCCAAAUUUCUAUCAUGUUCCAAAUCUUUCCCUCAAUGGACCUAAAUAUACUAUUAACAACGGCAGCACUAUCCAUCUCAGUGGGAGUUUGAGGGAGACUCAAUUAAACGCAGCUCCAAAAAAUUUUAGCGUAUUCAUCAAUUGCUCACAUAGGUUGAACAGCCGCAAUUUUAACCUACAACCCCACCAUCACAAUCUUAAAUCCAUUACUUUACCUGAUAUUAACAGUAACCAUAUUUAUAUUAAAUAUAAGUGCUACAACAUGAUCACUAUCCUAUAUGUGAAAUCAGUUACCACUACUAACAUCCAUAGUGCCUGUUACUCUACUAUCCCUAGGAGGACUGCCCCCACUAACAGGAUUUCUACCCAAAUGAGCCAUCACUCAAGAACUAACAAAAAAUAAUAGCCUCAUUAUACCUAUACUCAUAGCCACCAUAGCCCUGCUCAACCUGUAAUUUUACAUAUGCCUAAUUUAUUCCACAUCACUAAUGAUAUUUCCAACAACAUAAAAAUAAAAUGGCAAUUUGAAAACACAAAACAAACCCUCUUCUUGCCGUCACUUAGCCCCAACGCCCUGAGAUCCUGCAUCU